UACAGAGGGUGCGAGCGUUAAUCGGAAUUACUGGGCGUAAAGCGUGCGUAGACGGUUAUUUAAGUCGGAUGUGAAAGCCCCGGGCUCAACCUGGGAAUUGCAUUCGAGACUGAAUAGCUAGGGUGCGGUAGAGGGAAGCGGAAUUUCCGGUGUAGCGGUGAAAUGCGUAGAUAUCGGAAGAACACCAGUGGCGAAGGCGACACACUGGCCCAUUACUGACGCUGAGGCUCGAAAGCGUGGGGGGCAAACAGG
Molecule: ribosomal RNA, 252 nt
Filed under: uncultured bacterium
Lineage: Bacteria
Description: partial 16S ribosomal RNA
Rfam family: Bacterial small subunit ribosomal RNA
Source: RNAcentral